Molecule: ribosomal RNA, 492 nt
Filed under: uncultured bacterium
Lineage: Bacteria
Description: bacterial SSU rRNA
Rfam family: Bacterial small subunit ribosomal RNA
Source: RNAcentral
GUGGCGCACGGGUGAGUAAUAUAUAGUUAAUGUACCUCAAAGACUGGGAUGGCCACUGGAAACGGUGAUUAAUACUAGAUAUACCUUUAUAACAUAAGUUGUAAAGGGAAACGUUUUUUCGCUUUGAGAUCAGACUAUAUCCCAUCAGUUAGUUGGUAGUGUAAGAGACUACCAAGGCAAUGACGGGUAGCGGGUUUGAGAGGAUGAUCCGCCACACUGGUACUGAGACACGGACCAGACUCCUACGGGAGGCAGCAGUGAGGAAUAUUGCACAAUGGAGGAAACUCUGAUGCAGCAACGCCGCGUGGAGGAUGACGCAUUUCGGUGUGUAAACUCCUUUUAUAUGUCAAGAAAAUGACGGUAGCAUAUGAAUAAGCACCGGCUAACUCCGUGCCAGCAGCCGCGGUAAUACGGAGGGUGCAAGCGUUACUCGGAAUCACUGGGCGUAAAGGACGCGUAGGCGGGUUGUCAAGUCAGGUGUGAAAUCCUACA